This 72-nucleotide transfer RNA is filed under the name Moquiniella rubra. Its description in RNAcentral is "tRNA-Gln". It matches the Rfam family "tRNA". From Rfam's summary of the family: Transfer RNA (tRNA) molecules are approximately 80 nucleotides in length. Their secondary structure includes four short double-helical elements and three loops (D, anti-codon, and T loops). RNAcentral also lists the same sequence under 14 other names. Lineage: Eukaryota; Viridiplantae; Streptophyta; Magnoliopsida; Santalales; Loranthaceae. The record is from RNAcentral.
UGGGGCGUAGUCAAGUGGUAAGGCAACGGGUUUUGGUCCCGCUAUUCGGAGGUUCGAGCCCUUCCGUCCCAG